GUUUUAAUAGUUUAAAAAAUAACGCCGGUCUUGUAACUUGGAGAUAAGGCUGCCCCCACUUUUAAAACA
RNAcentral lists this transfer RNA (69 nucleotides) under Jivarus ronderosi. RNAcentral's name for it is "tRNA-Thr". The record is from RNAcentral. Lineage: Eukaryota; Metazoa; Arthropoda; Insecta; Orthoptera; Acrididae.